Molecule: unclassified non-coding RNA, 2925 nt
Filed under: Hevea brasiliensis (rubber tree)
Lineage: Eukaryota; Viridiplantae; Streptophyta; Magnoliopsida; Malpighiales; Euphorbiaceae
Source: RNAcentral
GGUACAAACAACAUGAUUUGAACCUUAGAUUUACUGAAAGUUUUGAUUUACAAACAAAAAUGUACAGACUCUUACAAAGAUUUUUUUUUUUUCCUUUUAAAAGAAAAAAAGAAUUACACAAGGCAGCAAAAUUAGAUGCCUACUGGGUAAACAUUUAAAUUCUGAUUCCAUUAUUAUGCAAGAAAAUUAAAAAAAAUUAGGACGCUUGUGAUCUGUAAUAUACAAAUACAGUAUUUAGAGCAAAAUAGAAUCUGUAAUUCUGAAGUUGAUGUUCACUUGAGAAAGAACUUCCAAACAUCUCUCUCAGUCAUCUCCUUCACUAAAUGGGCUCCAAAAAUGCCCUCUUCAUCUACCAGACCUUUCAGGUGUCUUGCUCCAUUAUUGAAACCAACAUAAUUUCUCUUUGUUGCCAAGUAUAAUACUCCAUAUGGGGGCCUCAAGCACUAGUUUUUCCAAAAAUAAAUAAGUAAAUAAAAUUAAAAAUAACACAAUAUUAAUAAUCCAAAUUUUGAUUUGUAAAACAUCGUUCGCAGGCAGUCAUCUAUCUAUAUCUAUCAUGCAUGUAAAUUUUCAACUUAAUCAGAUACUAACAAGGGUAAUAUCUAAAUGUUUCUUAAAAUCAAAGUUUUUACAUUAUGAGCAGAAGAUCAGGAUCAAAAUUGUUUAACAAAAUAAAAUACUAACUAGACAAUAGCAUCAAAUCCAGAGAUUGAUUUUAGGUAAGUUCAACCAUAAAAGAUAGCAAAGGGUAGGGAUAAAAAUUGCAGGCAUCAACAGAGCUCAGCUGCACACACAAGUGAGCUCCCCAUUCCAGCAUUUGUCAGUAUGCUACUGACACUAUCAUUAAUGUAUUAUUAAAAUGUAAAACCUAACAAUUUACUUGUUCAUUGUAUCAUUGUUCUGUUAUUGUCACAGCAACUUCACUGAACUUGCAUAACUUUUCAUCAAGUUCUGAAAGCUUGGUCAUCAGGAAAUCAACCAACUACAUACAGUAUUUUCAAUGAUUCACAAAUUCAUUACAAAUUUGCCUCAAAAUGUGAAUGAAGUCCAAGUUUAUCCUUCUGAGACUUAUCCCAAAUAAAGAAAUUUAUUUUCCCUCUGCUCUCUCAAAUUCCAUGUUAUAUGUCUUGUCACCUUAGUCAAUGAAUUGCUAAUGCAGAUGGUGCUUUCCAUAUAAACAAAACAAAAGGAUCAUGCAUCAGGAAGCCAACCAACCUUUUUAAUGAGAGCAUAUAGCUUCUUCAAAGAGGUCACUGAGUAGGGGAUAUCUGUCAUCAGAAUAACAUCAUACCCGCCUUCACCAUGAUCUGUCUCACUAGCCCUCUCCCAUGCACGGCUUCCAGAAAGCUUUCUUGAUCGCCUUGAGGAAGUUUCCUGAACUAUGAUGCUACCAUCUACGCUACUACAUCCAUCCAUGAAAUCCUCCUCAGAGAAGCUCAGGCUCAUCCCUGUUGUCACUUCAAAGGCAUCAUUCCUCACAACAGAUAAGACUGAUGGAAGUUCUUCCCAGUCUCCAGCAUAGAAAUGCACUGAUGGGGAAAGAGGAUAUCUUGAUGGAGUAAGAGGGCUCUCUGGCUGUCGGCUCUGGCUGUCCCGAGCUUGCUCAAGAUUAGCAAGGACAUUUGGUAUAGUUGUGCACCUUAUGGUUUCUGCAUUCAGGUCUUGGAAGUGAACCACACAAGCUCCCUGUGAAACAGCUAGUUAGCUUCAACUGACACAAUUUCAAUUAAGUUAUCAUAAAAAGUCUUUGAGAAAAGAUAAAAGAAGCCGGAGAAAAAAAAAAAAAUCAGUCUCAUUCAAUUCAUUGGUCUGUACUCUACAAGGAUAGGAAUAACUUUCAAAUCACACAAUUCAAGCUUAAAAAAGGCCUGACCUACUCAGAUUUAAAGGGAUUGCAGAAGGGAAUAUCAGAUAGUUUUAUUUGAAUUAUAUGUGUUGCACAAGUGCUUUCAAAUACGAAACAGGAUCUGAACCAUAUUAGCUAUCUAUAUCAGAAAUUGGGAUGGUCAUAUGGCUUUCCAUCUUAAGAGGAACUUAGUAAAACAAGUGGUUUACAGGCAAAUGGUACUUGAUAUUCAAGACAAUAUGGAAACCUCCAUAUUUCAACAAAUAUUCAAGACAACGAGUUGCCCCCACAAAAAAUAAAAAGCUUUGAAUUUUCUAGCAGUCACAAGCUAGUUAAAGUUAACAAGCCAGAUACAACAAGAAAUAAGCCACUGUCUUCACAUUUUUUGACAUAAUAAUAACUUAAGAAUUAAUGCACAAUAGGAGGAAUGUUGUGAUAUGGUCAAUGGCAUAUACCUUGAGGCAAGCAAAAAUUCCUGGAAGACCAUAGCCACAACCAAGCUCAAGUACCCUCUUGCCUCUAAAACUCAGUUGUCCAUCGCGAAUCUCAUGCUUAAGGACAUUUACAAGAUCAAUAGAGUUGUCCCAAGAUUUCACAGACCCAUCAGGCUUUGCAGAUAUCAUUUCAGAACCAGUGAACCCAAUAAUAUCAGCAACACUAAUUCUUCCCUUGAACACAUUAAGCCCUUGCAUUUCUACAUUAUCCUCAGCAUACUUAUAAGGGUGCGCCAUCUUUGAGGGGAGAAUCUCAACUGCAUGAGAAGGGAGAUGCACAUCUCUAUCUGAGACAUUGGUGAUGCUGUGACUGGCUCGGUCAUGAGGCAACAAGCCAGGUAAACACUGUGAAAGCAAUGAUGGUGCACGCAUUGUGCCUUAAUUCUUAAAAGAAGAGUUUUUGAGCAAGAACACAACCCAGAAAGAAGAAGAGAAAGGAUAGUGAUUUAUGAGCAGGAAUUUCACUAUGGAAAAAUUGAUUGCCACAAAUAACCCUUUUAUAUUACAAGGUGUACAAACUAAAGAAGAUCAAGGAAAAUCUGCAAUUUCAGAGAAAACAGCGUUUACAUUUAGAGUAAAAAAAAU